CUUGUACUCCCUCCGUCCAAAAAAAUACUUGUCAUUGAAAUGGAUGUAUCUAGAUGUAUUUUAGUUCUAGACACAUCCAUUUUGAUGACAAGUAAUUCCGUACGGAGGGAGUACUUG
This is a non-coding RNA of Triticum aestivum (bread wheat), 117 nucleotides long. Lineage: Eukaryota; Viridiplantae; Streptophyta; Magnoliopsida; Poales; Poaceae. The record is from Rfam.